CUUGAUCGAGCCCAGCCACAGCGGCCCGCCCGCACGUUCCACGCCGUACGUGGCCAGCAGGCUUCGGGCCUC
RNAcentral lists this antisense RNA (72 nucleotides) under Streptomyces oceani. RNAcentral describes it as "Streptomyces sp. SCSIO 02100 ASpks TB sRNA". It matches the Rfam family "ASpks TB sRNA". The record is from Rfam by way of RNAcentral. Lineage: Bacteria; Bacillati; Actinomycetota; Actinomycetes; Kitasatosporales; Streptomycetaceae.